CCAAAGGCUCUUUUCAGAGCCACCCCCAGCCUCAAGAAAAGAGCCG
Molecule: non-coding RNA, 46 nt
Organism: Mustela putorius furo (domestic ferret)
Lineage: Eukaryota; Metazoa; Chordata; Mammalia; Carnivora; Mustelidae
Source: Rfam